Molecule: unclassified non-coding RNA, 7660 nt
Filed under: Leishmania donovani
Lineage: Eukaryota; Euglenozoa; Kinetoplastea; Trypanosomatida; Trypanosomatidae
Description: gene:LdHU3.26.1390(CDS-product:hypothetical_prote in_conserved)
Source: RNAcentral
CGCAGAUCGUGGCCGAAGCAAGGGAAACCUUGGCGAGGAACUUGCACGAAUCGAUUCCGAAAGGAUACACAAGACGCUCUGCCGGCACUCCUCGCUCUUCCUUCUUUGGUGCUCCACUGUUAUGCGCAGCAAGCCCCCGCCCUCGUCCUGCCCUCGCCUUCCCUCCUCCACCGGCUUGGCACUUUCCUUGGUGUGUUACACAGCUACACACACGCACAUGUGGCUACCCUUUCAUGUAAAUUAGCUUUCUGACACAUUUGUGUAUACCGCGUCCUUCGCGCGUCUCCGCGCAUCGCAUCCUUCCUCGUUGUUCUUUCUCUUGUUCCUCUCUGCCUCUCGCACUCUCUCUCCACCUUGUGCAUAUAUACGAGCGAAGAGCGUCGAUACCUUCUCACCAGCGUGACUGCUUGCCUGCGCGUGUGUCCUUGUGUGUGUGUGUGUAUGUUCUCUGCCUCCGAUGGUGUGCCCGCUCCCUCCCUCCCUCCCUUCCUUCCUCCCUCCAUCCCUCUGUCUCUGUCUCGCUGUGUGUACGCAGCAGACCGCUAACUUCUUUUGUCCCUUGCAUUGCUCGCCCGUCUCUCGAGUGGCGUUCAUGCGACGGGGCACAGCGUCACCACACCCACACACCCAUACCCACACCCCGCACAAACUGAGCCUCUCCCUCACCCGUCGUCUUUCCCUCUGCCGUCUCUUCACCUCUCUGCCACGUAAGCGAAUCAGCUCGCCAGAGGCGCAUGCGGUCUCCAACCCUGCAGGCACAGUCGAGUGCUGCUGCCCGGCAUGGCGAGCGCGACCGUGUGCUGUCGCCGCAGCGAGAGCAGGGAGGGCCUAGCACGGCACAUGGUGCCAAGGACACCGACCAGAAUCAGGUCACCUCUGCUGCUACAGCGGUGGCGUCGGCAAUGCAGCCUUCGCAGCUCUCUCUGAAAGAAACCGCCAUGCAUCGCUGCACGUCCGCCCUACAGCACUUGCAGUCGAUACAGCGGGACGAAGGACUAAGUGGGACGCAUACAUGGCGGGAAACGCCGUCUGCGGCUGUUGUGGCGUCAGCAACGACAGCGAUGCAGCCGCUCCACUCCUCUGCGGCCAGCGUUCACCACCCGACUGCGAGCAUCCCUUCGAAAGCGCGGCAGGGGUGCUCGCCCUCCUUGGCCCGCCCCUCCAGCGCCGCGGCCAACUUCCGCGGUACAACGAACGGCUCCUCUGUACCGCACCCGGCGCUGCGGUCUCGCGCCAUCUCGGCCGUUCAGCAGCAGCACCUCCGCACUUUGCCACGCCACGUCAGCCGCGCGCGGAGCAGCUCUUCUCAUAGUCGACCGGCGUCGGCGGCGCAGCGGAAGGAUUUCCCACAGAUGAUGGCAUCCGGAAGUGCCGCGGCGCGUUCACAGGAGAGCGCGACGUCUGUGCCAAGCGGCAACGGAUGCAGACUCUUCGGCAAGAGUCCUAUGACGGCUCCGCCCGUGGCCACCACGGCGCAUAUACGCGCCUUCAGCAACAAGGCCCUUUACGUCCGUCCUCGGUCAGCGAGCCUCACCUGCACCUCGUUGCCAGCCCCGCAGUCUGCGAAGCCCAAUCGAAACUCGAUCCAGGUCCUGGCGGUCUGUCACAACGGAUCUCCGACUGCACAGGCAUGGCGGGCGGGCAUAGCGAACAACAGCACCGUCAGAGGCCCCGAGUCGCUCUCGCAGAGUGGCCAGCGUCACUUUCUACGUGCGCCGCGGCCUCACCACGUCCCUACGAUGGGUACACGAGAGCAGGCCGCCGUGGAUUACACGAGCGUAAAGGCUGCACAGCGGAGUCGUAGCUGCUCAACGUCGAUGGUGCAGCGGCAGCAACCGCGACAGACUUCAGCUGGCUCUUCAACUCAGGCAGGUCAGACGCAGCCCCAAGGCACCCGCGCGGGCGCCGCCGGCUCCGGCACACCGGGCUGCCAGCUCGAUGAAUCUGGCGUUGCCGACAACGACGGCGGCCGUCACCGCUGCGUCGAUGAGCAUCAGGCGUCUGAGGAGCUGGCGAUGGCCGUCCCCUUCACACCUCAAGCGGCUGCAGGGGUGGCCGGCAUCGAGAUCGGCCCCGCUGCGGGGGAGUGGAACCUACCGCGCAUUCAGCAACGCAUCCUUGCUGCGCGGCUGCAAGCGGAGGUACACCAGCACUUCACCAGCGCGGUGGAGAUACUGCUCUCCGUCCAGAUGAGUCUCGAUGUGGACUACCAAGAAGCCUCACAGGGCGGUGGUGGCCGCGAACCUGCCUCGGUCUUCUUGCUCACUCCAGCGCAGCGGGCGUACUACGCCGACCUCGUGGGGCGUGAGCUGCAGUACGUAACGGCUCUGUGGACGGCGAAGCUGCAGUCCACGGAGUCGCCGACGCUUGCCGUCACGGCGCCAACCGUGAAUAGGCUUCGAGGAACAGCAAGAUAUAUUGCCGGCUCCCACGCGGUGCCUUCCGAGCCUACGACAGCAACGGAGGCGGUGGGGAAGGAAGGCACCAACGUGCGCUUCAGAAGAAACUCCCGUGCAAUGGCGCGCCUCAUGCCGUCGACAGAGCACCGCCUCGCCUCCCCAACGCACGUGACCGACAGCACGGCGUCCAGCGCGUCAUGUCCCAACUCUUCCACGCCCGCGCACUCAGCCGUGGCCGUAAGUGCCACUUCGACGUGCCAUCCAUUGCCCAAGACAGCAUCGCGCAAGAGGGCCCUUGUCGAGUUUCACCAAAUACCGGAGAUGCAGACUUGCGCUCAUCGAUCGCGGAAGCCGCAUGUCAGCGCCACGGAUGACCUCAACGGUGAUGGGUCAGAGGCGAGUCAGCUCAGCAGCGUUCUCGCCAAUACCGACAGUAGCAAGGUGGGGACGCCAUCUCCGCAUACCUCCUCAUUCAGUGAGCACGGCAUAUCCGCUACCGGCAUCCGCACGAAUGACCCGUCUAUUCACGCGGUCUCCGAAAGCUCGGCACUCAACGGCACCACGGAGCCCGCACAGCCUUGCGGGCAACGUUCACCAUUUGGCCAAAGGCGCGGCAGGCAGCCCAUCCGUCGAAACCCGUACCUGAUGGACGCCGUCAGCACCGACUCGUCCGUUGUCAAUGAGCUUUCUUCGGUGUGGGACGACGAGGUGCUUGGGUCGCAGCUGCACGGGCCCUUUGAAGAUGCCGUGAUGCAGCGCGUGCGGUGCCGCUCCAUGCAGAGGAAGAGGUCGUCUAUCAACGAACCCCAAACCACGGCAGAAGCGAGAGCCUCCUCUCACAGCAUCCCCCUCGGUCUUGCAUCCGAAGGCAGCGAUGGCCGCGGGACGGAUCACCGCGGCUCGCUCGUCGCGGACACGUCCCCAGAGUGCAGCAGCGACAGUAGCGGACGGCGGGCCAGCAUACUCAGAGCCUGCCCGCACGCUUGCCAGCUUUCACCGUCGCAACUGACGGCAUCGGCAGCCAAGUGUCGCGCUGCAUGCGACGCUGUGGCUUCUGCGCCGACAUCGGGGCACGAGACAACCGCCGCCGCCCUUCACAAGGCCAAAGACGCCGCCUCUCCGGUGUCGGCGCGUGCGGGCUCGUCGCACACGCUGUCGUCGGCCGCGUUGCCUGUUGCGUCCAACUGCUCCUCCCUGCAUACGCCCAAGAGGCACCGCCCAGCCCACUCUGCUGAAACUGACGUUGAUGCUGCCGCUCCACCGUCCUGCCGGCCCACGGAGCUGGGAACGACUAUCCAAUCACCUCUUCGCUCCGCAAGCCACAUGGCAAGAGACGCACACGUUGGGGACUCCGCACCAGCGCCAUCCACUCUCUCCGCCGCGGCGACGAGCGGUGAGGCCACCGCGAAAACCCAACCUGUCGGUGCGGGUGACGCCAACGUCGCACCUGCUAGCCGAGCCUCUUCGAGCAGGCCGCUCCCGUACGUGAAGGAUGGCGAGCAGUACAGUGAGUUGAACGUGAGCGAUGCAAGCAGUGCGGUGAAGCGCCGUCAGAUGGCGCAGCAGAGCGCGCUUCUCCCAGAGAAGCAGCAACGGGGCAGUGCGUCGUUCUCGGUCAUUGAGGCGCCAGGCGACGUGCAACUGUCGAGUGGAACACACACCAGCUCCACACAUCCCCUGCCCCGCCACCGCAGCUCAGGCGGCGACGGCAGCAUUGCCUCGAGCGGCGUCAUCAGUGUCAUCACGACCACCAUCAGCAGCACAAGCGGAGCUGCGGACUUGCCCGCCUCCACGACUGAAAGAGCAUCGAUCACAGCCGCGGCUUCCAGCGCCGGCGCGCAGCACGGGCAUCACCACACGCAGCACCUGCAGAACGGCACGUUGGACAGGGAUCGAGGUUACCAAGAGCCACGGCGGUUUCUCAGCCCACCAUCCUCUACACGGCUGCUCGUUGCGCGCGACGAGGAUGGCAGCCGCUGCCCAUGCCUGUCGCCCACGCAAACGCCCUAUGCCUACGAGCAUAAGACGGUUGUUUGCAGUGACGGACAUCCCUGCAAGCGCCUUAUCCUGUGCAAGGCGGAGCGACUGUCCCGUAGGACGCGCCUCCACCACACGGAAGCCGGGUUCGUCGUCCCGAGCAACUCAUCCCAACACGGAGGCAAUGAACCUUAUACCCCACGUUCGCUUUCUCCCCUGUCGAAUCUCACUCCAACGCAUUCCCAGCACACCGCUUCCACGCCGGUAAUCGUUGAAGCGGAUGAGAGCAGUCCGCGUGAUUCUCAGGCGGAACUUCAACAUCAGGAGCGUACGGAUACCGAGAACGCCGUGAAUGCACACAAGCCUUGUACCUCCCUCGUGGCCACUAGCGCUCCUCUGGCAGCAGAGCGAUUAGAGGAGCACCUGCCUCUAACGAUGCUGGCCACGCGUUCGGUGGAGACGUCGCCCCUGCAGAGGGAGGCGGACGGCGAGCGCGCGGCGCCGGUGCGUGUUGUGGUCGAGUCUGUCUCGAUGCGGAACACGUCGUCAGCAGAUCCUGAGAGGCAGGAAGUCGGGUUCAAUGUCUCUCCUGAAGACGAGUCAGCAUCGCAGGACGACUUCUCGGGUGCGUUCAUUAUGGAGGCGGUCGCUGGUGAUGGGAGGGACGCCAGUGCGCCAGGUGUUUUUACGACUCCUGGGCCAGGCCUGCAGACCGCUGAGGGCAGUUGGGUGAGUGACGAGCGACCCCAGUUUGUUUUCAGCGGCGAUGUAGCGCAGUUAUGGCUCGAUGAGGAGGGCUCUCUCGCCGGAAGCUACUGCAACACCUACAGAGUGGAGCUGCAACGUGCGGAGGCGGCAGCGCUGAAGUGGCGUGGGCCUCCGGUGUGCAAUCUGCGCGCUCUUGCCGCUGUCGGCGACGACAAUGUGGCGGGUGAACGACACUCGGCUCACGGCGGUCGGUCAGUCUCAUCAUCUGCUGCAGCGGAACUCAGCGCGGCGGUGCCCGCGGAAGCGUUGCACGAAGCAAGGCCUGCUGGAGGCAUGCUUGGUGGCGUGACGAGCACCUGUACGGGGCCGACAGGUAUCCACCUCGUCGGACCUCGAGAGCUUCUAAAGACGCGCCGUCGGGAGCGGCAGCAGAAGCAGCCCCCGCAGCCAAAGAUGCUCCGGCAAAGCAGCUACCACCUUCCGACAAGCUACGGUGCCGUCACCGCCGAGGCCGCGACGAAAAACUGCGGCCGGUCUUGUAGAGCUGACAUCACCGCCGCGCAACCGUUUCGGAGCGGUAGUGUGAAGGCGGAGACGGUGAGAGGAGACGGAGCACGUGCCCGCUCAACCGUCAUGCAUUUCUCGCUGCCUCCCGAUCCAGUCGCGCAGCUGCCUCACCGAAAAGUGUACGGCGAUGACAACUUCAUCAUGUUCCGUCGCGCUGCCGCGGCCGCUGUUGCUGCUUCCCACCCUGUAAUGGCAGGAGCUACCCAGCCGAAGCGCCCGGAAACGGUGGGAACUACACGCACUCAUCCCCGGUAUGCCUCUGUUCAGUAGCAGCGCCGUGCCUCAGUAGAUCGCGAGGCUCCCUGCCCCCUUCCCCCAAACCUCGAUUUCGAGUCACGGCCACGUGCGCGCGGUUGCGCGUGGUGUCCUCCAACGCUGUAUGGUGCAUCCACCCUUCCUCGCUGCGGCGUCGAAGUGCAGUUUGCUAGCUCACCAUAGGAGGAGGGGUGGUGCUGGGUGCUGUCCGUGCGGCCGUUGAAGCAUCGCAUACUGUGCUGCGGGAUGGGCUUGUGGCACAAGAGGCGACGGAGAGGGGGAAGGGGCUGCAGCAAAGGGAGCGUGAGCACAAGAGUGCGAUGGAGGGCGCAACCCCCGACGCCUGCAAUGGGAUCGCCCGCCGUCGGCCACUGCAACGGCGAUGGCACACACACAUAGACACAGCGGGGCGCUUGCUCCUUCUUCGUUCCUCUCUGUUCUGCUGUGUACGCUUAGUCUUUUCGUUUUCUUCUUUCGAAGUGUGCAGGAGCCCUGAUGACGGACGGUCACCGCAGCUCGUGGCAUCACAGGAUUCAGUGCAUUAUCCCCACUCUCUUUUUGGGGAGAAGCCGCACAGCCCCCCCCCCUCCUCCUCACCACUGCUGCGACUGCCGGACCCCCUCUGGUCCUGAAAGGGUCAGGCACCUGCAAUGUAGGGGAGUUCAGAGCAAUGCACUGCCACUGAUAUCGGCAGCCAGGCCAUGGAUGGCGUUUGCUGGAGUAACCUGCGACAGCGAGCACGCUCGUGCCAUCCACAUGAUUAGACGAAGUACCAGCGUGACGCGAGCGCAUCUCACCUCCGGCCUUCACGCUGCCUACAGAGGUGUGAUGGGGAGAGCGUGAGUCACCGCGCGAUGGACGCACCGGGUGGCGACCACUAUGACUGGGAGCGGCUGUGACGCAACCUGCGAGGCGGGUACGCGUAGCGUUUGAGGUCAGGGGUCGUGUUCUCAGAUGGCCGAGUCAGGGCACUGCUGUGCCGCGCCUCCAUCGCUGCUCCGCGCCACGCGGUGCGGGGCCUGUGACAGGGCCGGAGGGGGAGAGGGCAAAGCCGAGUUGAGCGCAUGUACUGCACGGCAGAGAAAUGGAGAUGCUGCGAAACACAAGAAGGAAAGCCGUCCCGUGCGCGUGUCUGCUCUUGGGUGUGCGUGCGUAUGUGUAUGUGUCGGUCUCUGAAGUGUUUUGUGUGUGUGUUGUUUCUUGUAUGACCAUCUUCCCUGCCACUUCCGCUUCCGCUUGCCUGUCCUUCUACAUGUAGGUAUAUGCAUGUAUAUGUGUAUGCGUGCAUGUGUGGUUCGCACUGCCUUGCCUCCCUCAUGCGAUUUUCUCAUUUCUUUGCUUCUCUCCCUCCCUGUAUGUAUAAGUGUAUGUGUACCUCUGUGCCAAUGGCUCCCCUUCUCUCUGUCUUCUCCUCGUGUGCGUGUGCGUGUGUGGGCGGCCUUGUGAGCGACACCACGCGAGAGCCGCGCGUUUACGUCUCCGUCUGCGCGCACAUGUGUCGGUGUCCGUCGGUGUCUGCAUCACCGGCACACAGGGCGGGUGAGGCAACAUGCCUCUCUCUGUUCUCAUGCCUUUAUCCUUACUCCGAAUAUAAGAACGAAAGCUCGGUGGACACGUUGUUCACGCCAUGUACAUGUGCAGCCAGUCAAACUGGCACACACACACACACGUGUGUGCUCUUGACCCGCCUGCUUCUUCCACCACCACCGCCCCUCUCUCCCUCCCUCCACCGCCUCCAGAGCAAGGCCGAAAAC